GAUGAACGCUAGCUACAGGCUAACACAUGCAAGUCGAGGGGUAACGAGAGGAAAGCUUGCUUUCCUUGUCGACGACCGGCGCACGGGUGAGUAACGCGUAUCCAACCUGCCCCCAACUAGGGAAUAACCUUGCGAAAGUAAGACUAAUACCCUAUAAUUUCCUCAGAUGUCAUCUGACGAGGAAUAAAGAUUUAUCGGUUGUGGAUGGGGAUGCGUCUGAUUAGCUUGUUGGCGGGGCAACGGCCCACCAAGGCAACGAUCAGUAGGGGUUCUGAGAGGAAGGUCCCCCACAUUGGAACUGAGACACGGUCCAAACUCCUACGGGAGGCAGCGGUGAGGAAUAUUGGUCAAUGGGCGGAAGCCUGAACCAGCCAAGUAGCGUGCAGGAUGACGGCCCUAUGGGUUGUAAACUGCUUUUAUACAGGUAUAAAGUUAGCCACGUGUGGUUAUUUGUAGGUACUGUAUGAAUAAGGACCGGCUAAUUCCGUGCCAGCAGCCGCAGUAA
This 505-nucleotide ribosomal RNA is filed under the name uncultured bacterium. RNAcentral describes it as "partial 16S ribosomal RNA". It matches the Rfam family "Bacterial small subunit ribosomal RNA", at positions 28 to 523 of the family's 1533-position model. The record is from RNAcentral.